RNAcentral lists this ribosomal RNA (468 nucleotides) under uncultured bacterium. Its description in RNAcentral is "partial 16S ribosomal RNA". It matches the Rfam family "Bacterial small subunit ribosomal RNA", at positions 28 to 507 of the family's 1533-position model. The record is from RNAcentral.
GAUGAACGCUGGCGGCGUGCUUAACACAUGCAAGUCGAACGGAAAGGCCAGUGCUUGCCCUGGUACUCGAGUGGCGAACGGGUGAGUAACACGUGGGUGAUCUGCCCUGCACUUCGGGAUAAGCCUGGGAAACUGGGUCUAAUACCGGAUAGGACAAUGGUUUGGAUGCCGUUGUGGAAAGUUUUUUCGGUGUGGGAUGAGCUCGCGGCCUAUCAGCUUGUUGGUGGGGUAAUGGCCUACCAAGGCGUCGACGGGUAGCCGGCCUGAGAGGGUGUACGGCCACAUUGGGACGGAGAUACGGCCCAGACUCCUACGGGAGGCAGCAGUGGGGAAUAUUGCACAAUGGGCGCAAGCCUGAUGCAGCGACGCCGCGUGGGGGAUGACGGCCUUCGGGUUGUAAACUCCUUUCGCUAGGGACGAAGCGUAUUUGUGACGGUACCUGGAGAAGAAGCACCGGCUAACUACGUG